GUAGUUGCCUCCCCCAAAGUUGGGCUUUUGCGCGCGCGCCGCUGCCCAAGUCUUGUUUGUUGUGCUCCCCUCCGUUCUCUCUUUCUACUCUCGGCAGCUUAUUUUAUUUGAUUUAGAAAGGAUUCAAUUCCUUCACUCAGACAACUCCAGAACUCUUUUUCGCUGCCGCCACUCCUUGGUGACUGACUUCAUCAGUAAAUCAACUUGACUUUCUUGAAAUUUCUAUGGGUUAUUCUCAGAUUUUUUUUUUCAAGAAAUUUUGGAUAUGAGAUGAAAACUAUAUGGUGAAGAAGAAGAGAAAGGAAAUCUGACGAAGAAAAAGAAUAGAAGGUGCGGCGUGUGAUAGAGAGAAAGAAAGGUUGGUCCGUCAUAAAUGUUACUGUAUUUGAGGGGAUAAGUUGAGGGUUUUGUCCAAAAUUUUCUAAUUUGCUCGGGAAUGGGAUAAGUCUGAUUUUUUAGAAAUGAUUUCAAAAAUUGCAUUUCAAUAGACUUAACUCAAACAACAAAUAAGGAGUUUAUUCUAUUUUGUGAUUCCCAAAUCCUUUAACCAAACAGUCCCUAAGUUCUGUAUCAAUUGUUUUUAGGGUUUGUCCUAGAGGCGUCCACUGAAUAUUACUAGUAUUUAAUAGGGAUCCAGUGUAUUAGUACGUUGGAAAAGUGAAAUUAGAAUGAGGAAAUAUCUAAAUGAAGGGGUUUUAUAAGUGCUCAUUGGUAUCUCGUAAUUUUUUAAUUUGAUUAAUAACAUUUUCUAUUUUGAUAAAUAGCACAAAAGAAUUCUAAGCACUUCUAACCAAACAUCUUUUCCCCCAAUCUAAACCUUUGUCAGAAUUAUUAUUAUCUGCUAGCGUAUGUUCUAUUGGAAAAUUCUGAUCACAGUGUCCCAACAACUGUGGGGAGAGCCACCCGAGGGAGUGAUCAAAAUCAAUUUAGAUGCAUCCAUUUCAGCUCAAAUGACACAAACAGGAAUAGGAAUCGUGACAAGAAAAUGGGCAAAAAAUAUAUGGUGAAAGCACGAGGACAGCUAAAUGAGCUGAACAAAGGAACUGCUAUUGCCGUAGAAGCUGAGGCCAUCAAACAUGCUCUAAUUUUGGCUAAAGAAGUUGGCUAGAAUGUCAUUCAGAUGUAAUCAGACAGUAAGAAUGACAUAAAAAUGAUCAACUCCAGAUGUGUUAGUAAUAACAACUUAGCGACCGUCCGUGAGGAUAUUAAGGACGCGAGCGAUAUGUUUGACCAAAUGUCCUUCAUUUUACAAUAUCAUUUUACAGAUCAGGCAAUACAAUUAACCAAAUGGAUGUCAAGUCAGAAAAGCCUACCCUGUUUUCGCUUAAUGAAGCUGCGGAGGCAGAUAUAAGGGUAGUUGCCCUUUUUUGUAACUAUCCUUGUGUUAUCAAGUAUUUAUAAUAUCAUUAUCGUUUGACCAAAAAAAAAAAAAAAAAA
Molecule: long non-coding RNA, 1437 nt
Organism: Coffea arabica (coffee)
Lineage: Eukaryota; Viridiplantae; Streptophyta; Magnoliopsida; Gentianales; Rubiaceae
Source: RefSeq, a predicted model, not a curated record